ACACGUGGUAUCCUGUCUGAAUAUGGGGGGCCCAUCCUCCAAGGCUAAAUACUCCUGACUGACCGAUAGUGAACCAGUACCGUGAGGGAAAGGCGAAAAGAACCCCGGCGAGGGGAGUGAAAAAGAACCUGAAACCGUGUACGUACAAGCAGUGGGAGCACGCUUAGGCGUGUGACUGCGUACCUUUUGUAUAAUGGGUCAGCGACUUAUAUUCUGUAGCAAGGUUAACCGAAUAGGGGAGCCGAAGGGAAACCGAGUCUUAACUGGGCGUUAAGUUGCAGGGUAUAGACCCGAAACCCGGUGAUCUAGCCAUGGGCAGGUUGAAGGUUGGGUAACACUAACUGGAGGACCGAACCGACUAAUGUUGAAAAAUUAGCGGAUGACUUGUGGCUGGGGGUGAAAGGCCAAUCAAACCGGGAGAUAGCUGGUUCUCCCCGAAAGCUAUUUAGGUAGCGCCUCGUGAAUUCAUCUCCGGGGGUAGAGCACUGUUUCGGCAAGGGGGUCAUCCCGACUUACCAACCCGAUGCAAACUGCGAAUACCGGAGAAUGUUAUCACGGGAGACACACGGCGGGUGCUAACGUCCGUCGUGAAGAGGGAAACAACCCAGACCGCCAGCUAAGGUCCCAAAGUCAUGGUUAAGUGGGAAACGAUGUGGGAAGGCCCAGACAGCCAGGAUGUUGGCUUAGAAGCAGCCAUCAUUUAAAGAAAGCGUAAUAGCUCACUGGUCGAGUCGGCCUGCGCGGAAGAUGUAACGGGGCUAAACCAU
This 767-nucleotide ribosomal RNA is filed under the name Shigella sonnei. RNAcentral describes it as "partial 23S ribosomal RNA". It matches the Rfam family "Bacterial large subunit ribosomal RNA", at positions 422 to 1190 of the family's 2925-position model. The record is from RNAcentral. Lineage: Bacteria; Pseudomonadati; Pseudomonadota; Gammaproteobacteria; Enterobacterales; Enterobacteriaceae.